This 355-nucleotide ribosomal RNA is filed under the name uncultured Enterobacteriaceae bacterium. RNAcentral's name for it is "bacterial SSU rRNA". It matches the Rfam family "Bacterial small subunit ribosomal RNA", at positions 1030 to 1382 of the family's 1533-position model. Lineage: Bacteria; Pseudomonadati; Pseudomonadota; Gammaproteobacteria; Enterobacterales; Enterobacteriaceae. The record is from RNAcentral.
GAGGACAGGUGCUGCAUGGCUGUCGUCAGCUCGUGUUGUGAAAUGUUGGGUUAAGUCCCGCAACGAGCGCAACCCUUAUCCUUUGUUGCCAGCGGUCCGGCCGGGAACUCAAAGGAGGACUGCCAGUAGAUAAACUGGAGGAAGGUGGGACGACGUCAAGUCAUCAUGGCCCUUACGACCACGGGCUACACACGUGCUACAAUGGCGCAUACAAAGAGAAAGCGACCUCGCGAGAGCAAGCGGACCUCAUAAAGUGCGUCGUAGUCCGGAUUGGAGUCUGCAACUCGACUCCAUGAAGUCGGAAUCGCUAGUAAUCGUGGAUCAGAAUGCCACGGUGAAUACGUUCCCGGGCCUU